This 541-nucleotide ribosomal RNA is filed under the name uncultured bacterium. Its description in RNAcentral is "bacterial SSU rRNA". It matches the Rfam family "Bacterial small subunit ribosomal RNA", at positions 777 to 1318 of the family's 1533-position model. The record is from RNAcentral.
AAUAGAUACCCCGGUAGUCCACGCCGUAAACGAUGAGUGCUAAGUGUUAGAGGGUUUCCGCCCUUUAGUGCUGAAGUUAACGCAUUAAGCACUCCGCCUGGGGAGUACGGUCGCAAGACUGAAACUCAAAGGAAUUGACGGGGGCCCGCACAAGCGGUGGAGCAUGUGGUUUAAUUCGAAGCAACGCGAAGAACCUUACCAGGUCUUGACAUCCUCUGACAACCCUAGAGAUAGGGCUUUCCCUUCGGGGACAGAGUGACAGGUGGUGCAUGGUUGUCGUCAGCUCGUGUCGUGAGAUGUUGGGUUAAGUCCCGCAACGAGCGCAACCCUUGAUCUUAGUUGCCAGCAUUUAGUUGGGCACUCUAAGGUGACUGCCGGUGACAAACCGGAGGAAGGUGGGGAUGACGUCAAAUCAUCAUGCCCCUUAUGACCUGGGCUACACACGUGCUACAAUGGACGGUACAAAGAGUCGCGAGACCGCGAGGUGGAGCUAAUCUCAUAAAACCGUUCUCAGUUCGGAUUGUAGGCUGCAACUCGCCUA